This 65-nucleotide transfer RNA is filed under the name Digramma interrupta. RNAcentral describes it as "tRNA-Ser". The record is from RNAcentral. Lineage: Eukaryota; Metazoa; Platyhelminthes; Cestoda; Diphyllobothriidea; Diphyllobothriidae.
GUUAGUAACACUUUAAGUGCUUUUGAUUGAAAUCAGAAUGGUUGUUUUUAGUAACAAUAUUAACU